RNAcentral lists this ribosomal RNA (485 nucleotides) under uncultured bacterium. RNAcentral describes it as "bacterial SSU rRNA". It matches the Rfam family "Bacterial small subunit ribosomal RNA", at positions 335 to 800 of the family's 1533-position model. The record is from RNAcentral.
ACUCCUACGGGAGGCAGCAGUGGGGAAUAUUGCACAAUGGGCGCAAGCCUGAUGCAGCCAUGCCGCGUGUGUGAAGAAGGCCUUCGGGUUGUAAAGCACUUUCAGUCGUGAGGAAGGUAGUGUAGUUAAUAGCUGCAUUAUUUGACGUUAGCGACAGAAGAAGCACCGUAGCCUCAACUCGUCGCCAGCAGCCGUCAGGAUAACUGACGGGAGGGUGCGAGCUGUAAAUCGGAAUUACUGGGCGUAAAGCGCAUGCAGGUGGUUUGUUAAGUCAGAUGUGAAAGCCCGGGGCUCAACCUCGGAAUUGCAUUUGAAACUGGCAGACUAGAGUACUGUAGAGGGGGGUAGAAUUUCAGGUGUAGCGGUGAAAUGCGUAGAGAUCUGAAGGAAUACCGGUGGCGAAGGCGGCCCCCUGGACAGAUACUGACACUCAGAUGCGAAAGCGUGGGGAGCAAACAGGAUUAGAUACCCUGGUAGGAUAGCGU